This 459-nucleotide ribosomal RNA is filed under the name uncultured bacterium. RNAcentral's name for it is "partial 16S ribosomal RNA". It matches the Rfam family "Bacterial small subunit ribosomal RNA", at positions 338 to 795 of the family's 1533-position model. The record is from RNAcentral.
CCUACGGGAGGCAGCAGUGAGGAAUAUUGGUCAAUGGGCGCGAGCCUGAACCAGCCAAGUCGCGUGAGGGAAGACGGUCCUAUGGAUUGUAAACCUCUUUUGUCGGGGAGCAAAAGACGCCACGCGUGGCGUUCCGAGAGUACCCGAAGAAAAAGCAUCGGCUAACUCCGUGCCAGCAGCCGCGGUAAUACGGAAGGCCCGAGCGUUAUCCGGAUUCAUUGGGCUUAAAGGGAGCGUAGGCGGGCGUUCAAGUCAGCUGUAAAAUCGCGCGGCUCAACCGCGCCCCGCAGUUGAAACUGGACGCCUUGAGUUCACAACAGGCAGGCGGAAUUCGUGGUGUAGCGGUGAAAUGCAUAGAUAUCACGAGGAACCCCGAUUGCGAAGGCAGCCUGCCGGGGUGCGACUGACGCUGAGGCUCGAAGGUGCGGGUAUCAAACAGGAUUAGAUACCCCAGUAGUC